AACGCGCCCAUUAUCACCCCAUUUCCUGUCCGACGGAAUCAAGUAUUUCCGCUGUUUUCGAGUGACAGUUUAGUCUUCCGCAUAAUAUGCCAAAGACAGCAGGGUGUAAGAACAAAACGACAGGUAGCUAGCUAUACAAUUAAAGCUGAGGCAGGGAUGCAUCUGACAUCCAUCCGCAGUGAUCGUCACUGGAUGUGAUAAGUAGGCGGGCCUUCUUCUGACCAGUCGACGGGGCCAAUAGCUGCAAGCAGCAGUUGUGGGCACACCCCUUGAGUGGUGGGCGUUGCCAAAGCUACUCGGCCUUUACUAUCAUUGGCUGUGACUGGAGGAGCAACCAAGUAGCUGACUGACGCUUCAUUAGUGGGUGGACCCAGUCCAGAGUGAAAGGCGUGGCCAGUUAUGGAGAGCAUAAGUGGUAGCAGCGUGGACUCGAGAAACACCCUUCGGGGCAUAAACACCACACCUCUCUUGGCCCGCAUAGAGUCUUAUGAGGCUAGCGAGAAGAAGUGCAUCUCCGAUGUCAGGAGGACAUUCUGCCUCUUUGUCACCUUCGACCUCCUCUUCAUCACCUUGCUCUGGAUCAUUGAGCUCAAUGUGAAUGGAGGAAUCGAGACGCGGCUCGAUAAGGAGGUCUUACACUAUGACUACCACGCCUCAUUCUUCGACAUAUUUCUCCUGGCUGUGUUACGGUUUGCAGCCCUAAUCUUGGCCUAUGCUGUUUGUAAACUGCGUCACUGGUGGGCCAUAGCGAUAACCACAGCAACCACAAGUGCUUUCCUGAUUGCAAAAGUCAUUUUAUCAAAGCUCCUUUCCCAGGGGGCCUUUGGGUACCUGCUGCCCAUCAUCUCUUUCAUCCUGGCCUGGAUUGAGACGUGGCUACUAGACUUUAAGGUUCUACCUCAGGAGGCUGACGAUGAGAACAGAUUUCUUUCUAUAAUGGACGUCCCUGAAAGGACCCCCUUCGUGCAACCAGGACCACUUUCAGAUGGGCAGUUCUACUCCCCACCCGAGUCUGUGGCAGACUCUGAUGAGGAGCUGUUGGAUGAUAAACAUGACCCGGAGAAGGCUCUUAUUUAGCAGGCCAGCUGAAGUUUUGGAGCUGACAUAUAUGCCCCUUGGUCUGAGAUUUGUUAACGCCUCAAUUCGUCGGGGCAUGGGCUCGACAAGAUGUCAAACGUUCCACUGGGAUGCUGGCCCAUGUUAACUCCAAAGAUUUCAGCAGUUGUCAAGUUGGCUGGAUGUCCUUUGGGUAGUGGACCAAUCUUGUGGGAAACUUCUGAGCGUGAAAAACACAGCAGUGUUGCAGUUCUUGACACACUCAAACUGGUGCGCCUGGCACCUACUACCAUAUCCCCCAUUCAAAGGCACUUAAAUCUAUUGUCUUGCCCAUUCACCCUCUGAAUGGCACACACACAGUCCAUAUCUCAAUUGUCUGCAAGGCUUAAAAAUAAUUCUUAAACCUGUAUCUUCAUCUACACAAAUGGCGCAGAACGUCAUCUCAGAACACACAACUCACCGGUCCUUGUCACGGAUGGGCUGUUGCAGCAGAUGACCAUACCAAGUUCCACUCCUAUCAGCUAAAAACUAUAAUCUGCCAUAGUGGGCACGCGAUCACCAACACUGGACAAUUGAGUGGAAAAACAUUGCCUGGUUCGACAAGUUCCUGUUUCAUGUUGAGUCAGGAUUUGGCGUGAGCAGUAUAAAUCCAUAACCCCAUUAAGCCUGGUGUCAACGGUACAUGCUGCUGGCAGUGGUAUAAUGGUGUUGGGAAUGUUUUUCUGGCACAUUUUAGGUCCCUUGAUACCAAUUGAGCAAUGUGUCCAUGCCCUGAAGAAUUCAGGCUGUUCUGGAGGAAAAGGGUUUUCUGACCUGGUACUAGAUGGGUGUACUUAAUAAACUGGCUGCUGAGUGUAUGUGUAAAUAUAACAUUUGAAUGGCUAUUGUCAAAAUGUAAUUUUGUGAAUGUUGACAUGAAAAUACUUCCAUAAUACAUUUCUGGUUUGAUUAAUUAUGUAGGUCAUAAUAUAAUUGGUGUUUGUUUGCUUAUAAUAUGCUUUGUUUUGUUUUUGAGAAGUACCAGUGGUCAUCCUGGGAGGUGAAACCCAUUUGAAGAUUCACAACCCUGAGUGACUGCGUCUAAAGUUACUCAAGUGCUCACAGCAGCUGCCCCAUCUAACCACGGGGAAGACUUACGACCACUGCAUGUUCUUUAUUCCUCCAAUGAGAGCUCUGUAUUCCUCAGCCUAUCACCUUCUACACACCUGCUUCAUGUCCCUUUGCCUCUUCACUCAAGCUUCCAAACAAUUAUUUUUAAGAACUGAGUGCAUACUGAUUUGUUUUUGUUGCCAGAUAUAAGUUCGUGAUGUGCUUAUUCUUGUAUCUCUUGCUGAUAUGGUUAGAAGCUUCAAAAUCAGUUCAGAAUUGAAGUUUGAGAAGUCUGCAUGGGCAGUGUGUGGCUAUAGGGCUAUUGAGCUCUAAGGAUGGCACUUGAAUAUAAAUAGAUUACUCAGAUUUUUUUUGUUGUUGAUAUUAAGCAAACUCCUUCGGACAGCUGUCAAGGGGGGAAAUAUAGACUACGUAACCAACACAGCUGUGCCUGCAUAUGUAACGACUUCAGUUGGUAAUUAUAUAUGUCUGAAUGCAUGACUUUGGGAACUCAAUGACAAUGUUUUUUGAUUUCUACUUCUGACUACCCUCUCUUCAUCAUAGGAAAGGAAGAAAUUGUAUACAGCACAUGUUUUUAAUCACUGGAAAGUGUUAUACCGUUUGUUUUCUCAUCUGACCAUUUGGAAGUAGAAGGGCAUUAGCCCGGAAGCUUCUUAGUAAACUUUCCACUUGGCUUUGCAAAAUGUAUCAAUACACACAUUUUUUUUAAAUGGCAGAAUACAUUUCCCAUGAAUUCAUAUUAGAGUUCAACACUGGUAUAUUUUACACCACCUGGAAGUUUCAUACUUUUAAUCAAAAUAUCUGCAUGGUAUGUUUUCAAAGUGAACCGUCCCAAAGCUUUUUAUGCAGAAGCAGACUAAUGGAGUUUGUGCUCUUAUCAUGGUGAAUGCAGUUCCACACAUGGGAAUACACAAACAAACAGCUAACACAGAGGGAACCGUUUAAUGUAGUUACUCCCACAAUUUCCAUUCACCAUGACAAGACUAUGAAAAUGGCAAUAAAACAUGCUUCCUGGGACUAUUACAGAUCCCAGUUGUGUGUACAUAUCACCAUGGAAAUAACAUGGGUAGGAUGUAGAUUUUACACUGAAAUGUAUAUUUGAUAACCUUUUAUUAGGUUAACCUCUGAAAAUGAAUGUGUGUUGGCAUGUAAUGCUCUUAACUUGCAUUCAUAAUUAGUGGAUGCUGAUGCAUGGACCUGUAAUCAAGAAUUUCAAUGCGAUCAGUGGUAGAUCCGCAUAAUAGUGUGCUUAACAUUUUAAAGUGAUUUCCGAUUGAGCCUGAAAGAGUUUACCGCACUUACUAUGCGUGAUUGCAGUUUCUGUGAACAUGGGAACAUUGGCUUUUUAUAAAAGGUGUAGACGACAAAGCGCAAUCGGAUUGAAUACCCACGAAAGAGAGUAUAGUCUUCACUUUUAUUUAACUUUUAACUUGGCAAGUCAGUUAAGAACAAAUUCUUAUUUGCAAUGACUGCCUACCCCGGCCAAACCCAAACCCGGACGACGCUGGGCCAAUUGUGCGCAGCCCUAUGGAACUCCCAAUCACGACCGGUUAUGAUACAGCUUGGAAUCAAACCAGGGUCUGUAGUGGCACCUCUAGCACUGAGACCGCUGCACCACUCAAUACAGUAAAAUAAUAAGGUUCACCAUUCAAGACACCCAAGUUCAUUUUCACAGUGGCAAGCCUGUGUGCAUUUAGGAAUUAAUGGUUGGUUACCACGUUUGAUCAAGAAUUACAUUGCUUGUCAAUUCAAUUAAGCAAUAAUCUGUAUCUAGCUUUAUGAGUUAUUGGUUUUACUCGUCUUUGUAUUUAGUUUUGGAUUAAAGUGAAAAUUGUAUGAUUUGUUAAUGAUGGUAUAUGUUCUGUUUUGCAUUUAAUUCGAUUUUAAUACAAAUAAAUUGCACAUUGUUAAAGGGC
This is an RNA transcript of Oncorhynchus kisutch (coho salmon), 4082 nucleotides long. It is a transcript of the gene named STARD3 N-terminal like, with no coding region annotated. Lineage: Eukaryota; Metazoa; Chordata; Actinopteri; Salmoniformes; Salmonidae. The record is from RefSeq and is a predicted model, not a curated record. The transcript is spliced from 10 exons.